CAGUCGCCGCGGUAAUACGUAGGGCGCAAGCGUUGUCCGGAAUUAUUGGGCGUAAAGAGCUCGUAGGCGGUCUGUCGCGUCUGGUGUGAAAUCCCGAGGCUCAACCUCGGGCUUGCAUCGGGUACGGGCAGACUAGAGUGCGGUAGGGGAGACUGGAAUUCCUGGUGUAGCGGUGGAAUGCGCAGAUAUCAGGAGGAACACCGAUGGCGAAGGCAGGUCUCUGGGCCGCAACUGACGCUGAGGAGCGAAAGCAUGGGGAGCGAACAGGAUUAGAUACCCGUGUAGUCCCUGUCUCUUAUAC
Molecule: ribosomal RNA, 301 nt
Filed under: uncultured bacterium
Lineage: Bacteria
Description: partial 16S ribosomal RNA
Rfam family: Bacterial small subunit ribosomal RNA
Source: RNAcentral